UACUACAAUCUACUAUCAUGCACCUAUCACCAUCAUCUCAAUCCUAUAUCUCUCCAUCCAAUGACUAAAAACUCAAAAGCACCAUUCCUUUGAUGCCUUUGAGAUCUCUCUCUCUCUCUCUCUCUCUAUAUAUAUAUAUAUAGUCCGGCCGUUAUACUAUCGAUAGUACCAAGCAUUUAGUGCUAUCAAGUUUUCUGUCGAUAAAUUAACCCUUUUGAUUAUUUUUAUUCGUUAGAUUAUACUAUUCAACCAACCACCCACUCAAUCUUAGAGGUCCACAUCAUCCUAAUCACACAUUUCUCAAUCCAAGGGCUAAAAAACCAAUAGGACCAAUAACUUGGUGCUAUUGAUAGUAUUCCAACAUAUAUAUAUAGUUGAGCUAGAAUACUUUUAGAAACACCAACUUCUUGGUGCUUCUAAGUUUCUAGCCCUUGGAUCUACUCCUUGAUUACUAAUAGCUUUUGGAUCAAAUACUAUUCCACAUAUCACCACCUACCACUAUCAUCUCAACCUCACAUCUCUCCAUCCAAUGGCUAAAAACUCAAAAGCACCACCUUCAUGGUGCUUUUGAGAGUAUUCUAGCUCAACUAUAUAUAUAUGUAUAUAUAUAUAUAUAUAUAUGUUGAAAUACUAUUAAUAAUAAAAGAUUCUUUUUGGUAUUAAGUUUUUAAUCAUUCGAUGAAAAAUUAUAGGAUUAGAAUGAUAUUAGUUCCUUAGGGUUAAGUGGUUCUACUAAAGUUGAGUGGUCCUCACUAGUUAUAAUAUUUAAUCCAAUGGUUAGAAAUGAUAAAAGGCUUUGAUCUAAAUUUAGAUACUAAUAUCUCUUACUUGGAUAUAUAUGCAUAAACUUUAUUACGACUUGAGCCGGUAGAAAAAAUUUUGUCUGUUCGGAAGAUCUAUUUUGGGUCCGAACUAUCCCAAUUGGAGAUUAUUUUUUUCUCUCUCAUCUCCUAUUUUCUAAUAUGUAGAAGUUACAAAUUUAUUACUAUUCUUGCUCGCAUAUUUUAGCAGCAUUUUUCAAUAUGUAGAAGUUAAAAAUUUAUCAUUAUUCUUAUUCGCAUAUUUUAGCAGCAUAUUCUACACAUGUAUAUUCUACAAGUGCAAUAGACUAUCAAUCUUUUAUUGAUAAAUAUUAUUCUAUUGAGCAAC
RNAcentral lists this long non-coding RNA (1149 nucleotides) under Ananas comosus (pineapple). RNAcentral describes it as "long non-coding RNA (ACOM_LNC036765)". Lineage: Eukaryota; Viridiplantae; Streptophyta; Magnoliopsida; Poales; Bromeliaceae. The record is from RNAcentral.